This 1243-nucleotide ribosomal RNA is filed under the name metagenome. Its description in RNAcentral is "bacterial LSU rRNA". It matches the Rfam family "Bacterial large subunit ribosomal RNA", at positions 1564 to 2817 of the family's 2925-position model. The record is from RNAcentral.
UGAAUACGAGAUGCUACGGCGUCGAAGCAGUCUAUGUCAUACUUCCAAGAAAAGCUUGCACUGUCAUAAACAAAUAAUGCCUGUACCAUAACCGACACAGGUGGGUAGGUAGAGUAUACUAAGGGGCGCGAGAUAACUCUCUCUAAGGAACUCGGCAAAAUGACUCCGUAACUUCGGGAGAAGGAGUGCCUUAUUUAUAAGGUUGCAAUAACAAGAUCCAAGCAACUGUUUACCAAAAACACAGGUCUCCGCUAAGUCGUAAGACGAUGUAUGGGGGCUGACGCCUGCCCAGUGCCAGAAGGUUAAAGAAGUUGGUUAGCAUCCGCGAAGCUGAUAACUGAAGCCCUGGUGAACGGCGGCCGUAACAAUAACGGUCCUAAGGUAGCGAAAUUCCUUGUCGGGUAAGUUCCGACCCGCACGAAAGGCGUAAUGAUUUGGAUACUGUCUCGGAGAGGGGCUCGGUGAAAUAGACUUGUCUGUGAAGAUGCGGACUACCUGCACCAGGACAGAAAGACCCUAUGAAGCUUUACUGUAACCUGAAAUUGAAAUUGGACUUUACUUGUGCAGUAUAGGUGGGAGGCGUUGAGAAUAUUCUUGCGGGAUUAUUGGAGCCAUCAGUGAGAUACCACUCUUGUAAUGUUAGAUUUCUAACUUUGUAUCAUUAUCUGGUCAAAGAACAGUUUCAGGCGGGCAGUUUGACUGGGGCGGUCGCCUCCUAAACGGUAACGGAGGCGCACAAAGGUUUCCUCUGAACGGGUAGAAAUCGUAUCUAGAGUGUAAAGGCAUAAGGAAGCUUGACUGUGAGACCUACAAGUCGAGCAGGGACGAAAGUCGGUCUUAGUGAUCUGACGGUGCUGAGUGGAAAGGCCGUCACUCAACGGAUAAAAGUUACUCUAGGAUAACAGGCUGAUCUCCCCCAAGAGUUCACAUCGACGGGGAGGUUUGGCACCUCGAUGUCGGCUCAUCGCAUCCUGGGGCGGUAGUACGUCCCAAGGGUUGGGCUGUUCGCCCAUGAAAGCGGUACGCGAGCUGGGUUCAGAACGUCGUGAGACAGUUCGGUCCAUAUCCGGUGUAGGCGUUAGAAUAUUGAGAGGAGCCUUCUUUAGUACGAGAGGACCGAGAAGGACAUACCUCUGGUGUACCAGUUAUCGUGCCAACGGUAAACGCUGGGUAGCUAUGUGUGGAGUGGAUAACCGCUGAAAGCAUCUAAGUGGGAAGCCCACCUCAAGAUAAGUAUUCUCAU